GAAAUGCGAUAAGUAAUGUGAAUUUCAGAAUUCCGUGAAUCAUCGAAUCUUUGAACGCACAUUGCGCCCUCUGGCAUUCCGGGGGGCAUGCCUGUCCGAGCGUCAUUACGCACCCUCAAGUCCGGCUUGUGUGAUGGGCCCCGGCGUCUCGUUCGCGAGACGGGCCCGAAAGGCAGCGGCGGCGUCGACCCGAUGAGCCCGAGCGUAUGGGGACUUCUGUCACACGUUCGCGGUGCGGACCGGCGCCUGCUUGACUUUUCUGAUUAUCCAGGUUGACCUCGGAUCAGGUAGGGAUACCCGCUGAACUUAAGC
RNAcentral lists this unclassified non-coding RNA (312 nucleotides) under plant metagenome. RNAcentral's name for it is "partial contains 5.8S ribosomal RNA, internal transcribed spacer 2, and large subunit ribosomal RNA". The stretch from base 1 to 105 matches the Rfam family "5.8S ribosomal RNA", at positions 50 to 154 of the family's 154-position model. The record is from RNAcentral.